GUCCACGCCGUAAACGGUGGGAACUAGGUGUUGGCGACAUUCCACGUCGUCGGUGCCGCAGCUAACGCAUUAAGUUCCCCGCCUGGGGAGUACGGCCGCAAGGCUAAAACUCAAAGGAAUUGACGGGGGCCCGCACAAGCAGCGGAGCAUGUGGCUUAAUUCGACGCAACGCGAAGAACCUUACCAAGGCUUGACAUCGCCCGGAAAGCAUCAGAGAUGGUGCCCCCCUUGUGGUCGGGUGACAGGUGGUGCAUGGCUGUCGU
Molecule: ribosomal RNA, 263 nt
Filed under: uncultured bacterium
Lineage: Bacteria
Description: partial 16S ribosomal RNA
Rfam family: Bacterial small subunit ribosomal RNA
Source: RNAcentral